UCGGGGUGGCCCGGCGCGCGGUGGCGCGGCGCGGGGGGUUUUCUGGUGCGUCCUGGUCCACCAUGGCCAAACCAACAAGCAAAGAUUCAGGCUUAAAGGAGAAGUUUAAGAUUCUGUUGGGACUGGGAACACCGAGGCCAAAUCCCAAGUCUGCAGAGGGCAAACAGACGGAGUUUAUCAUCACCGCGGAAAUCCUGAGAGAACUGAGUGUGGAAUGUGGCCUCAACAAUCGCAUCCGGAUGAUAGGGCAGAUUUGUGAAGUCGCAAAAACCAAGAAAUUUGAAGAGCACGCAGUGGAAGCACUCUGGAAGGCGGUCGCGGAUCUGUUGCAGCCGGAGCGGCCGCUGGAGGCCCGGCACGCGGUGCUGGCUCUGCUGAAGGCCAUUGUGCAGGGGCAGGGCGAACGUUUGGGGGUCCUCAGAGCCCUCUUCUUUAGGGUCAUCAAGGAUUACCCUUCUAACGAAGACCUUCACGAAAGGCUGGAAGUUUUCAAGGCCCUCACAGACAAUGGGAGACACAUCACCUACUUGGAGGAAGAGCUGGCUGACUUUGUGCUGCAGUGGAUGGAUGUUGGCUUGUCCUCGGAAUUCCUUCUGGUGCUGGUGAACUUGGUCAAAUUCAACAGCUGUUACCUCGACGAGUACAUCGCAAGGAUGGUUCAGAUGAUCUGUCUGCUGUGCGUCCGGACCGCGUCCUCUGUGGACAUAGAGGUCUCCCUGCAGGUGCUGGAUGCCGUGGUCUGCUACAACUGCCUGCCGGCUGAGAGCCUCCCGCUGUUCAUCAUCACUCUCUGUCGCACCAUCAACGUCAAGGAGCUCUGCGAGCCUUGCUGGAAGCUGAUGCGGAACCUCCUUGGCACCCACCUGGGCCACAGUGCCAUCUACAACAUGUGCCACCUCAUGGAGGACAGAGCCUACAUGGAGGACGCGCCCCUGCUGAGAGGAGCUGUGUUUUUUGUGGGCAUGGCUCUCUGGGGAGCCCACCGGCUCUAUUCUCUCAGGAACUCGCCAACAUCCGUGCUGCCAUCGUUUUACCAGGCCAUGGCAUGUCCGAACGAGGUGGUGUCCUAUGAGAUCGUCCUGUCCAUCACCAGGCUCAUCAAGAAGUACAGGAAGGAGCUCCAGGUGGUGACGUGGGACAUUCUGCUGAACAUCAUCGAACGGCUCCUUCAGCAGCUCCAGACCUUGGACAGCCCGGAACUCAGGACCAUCGUCCAUGACCUGUUGACCACAGUGGAGGAGCUGUGUGACCAGAACGAGUUCCACGGGUCUCAGGAGAGAUACUUUGAACUGGUGGAGAGAUGUGCGGACCAGAGGCCUGAGUCCUCCCUCCUGAACCUGAUCUCCUACAGAGCGCAGUCCAUCCACCCGGCCAAGGACGGCUGGAUUCAGAACCUGCAGGCGCUGAUGGAGAGAUUCUUCAGGAGCGAGUCCCGAGGCGCCGUGCGCAUCAAGGUGCUGGACGUGCUGUCGUUCGUGCUGCUCAUCAACAGGCAGUUCUAUGAGGAGGAGCUGAUUAACUCAGUGGUCAUCUCACAGCUCUCCCACAUCCCCGAGGAUAAAGACCACCAGGUCCGAAAGCUGGCUACCCAGUUGCUGGUGGACCUGGCAGAGGGCUGCCACACACACUACUUCAACAGCCUGCUGGACAUCAUCGAGAAGGUGAUGGCUCGCUCCCUCUCCGCACCCCCAGAGCUAGAAGAAAGGGAUGUGGCUGCGUACUCGGCCUCCUUGGAGGAUGUGAAGACAGCCGUCCUGGGGCUUCUGGUCAUCCUUCAGACCAAGCUGUACACCCUGCCUGCAAGCCACGCCACGCGCGUGUAUGAGAUGCUGGUCAGCCACAUUCAGCUACACUACAAGCACAGCUACACCCUGCCAAUCGCGAGCAGCAUCCGGCUGCAGGCCUUUGACUUCCUGUUGCUGCUGCGGGCCGACUCACUGCACCGCCUCGGCCUGCCCAACAAGGAUGGAGUCGUGCGGUUCAGCCCCUACUGCGUGUGCGACUACAUGGAGCCAGAGAGAGGCUCUGAGAAGAAGACCAGCGGCCCCCUUUCUCCUCCCACAGGGCCGCCUGGCCCGGCGCCUGCAGGCCCGGCUGUGCGGCUGGGCUCCCUUCCCUACUCCCUGCUCUUCCGCGUCCUGCUGCAGUGCUUGAAGCAGGAGUCUGACUGGAAGGUGCUGAAGCUGGUUCUGGGCAGGCUGCCUGAGUCCCUUCGCUACAAAGUGCUCAUCUUUACCUCCCCUUGCAGCGUGGACCAGCUGUGCUCUGCUCUCUGCUCCAUGCUUUCAGGCCCAAAGACACUAGAGCGGCUCCGAGGCGCCCCAGAAGGCUUCUCCAGAACUGACCUGCACCUGGCCGUGGUUCCAGUGCUGACAGCAUUAAUCUCUUACCAUAACUACCUGGACAAAACCAAACAGCGCGAGAUGGUCUACUGCCUGGAGCAGGGCCUCAUCCACCGCUGUGCCAGCCAGUGCGUCGUGGCCUUGUCCAUCUGCAGCGUGGAGAUGCCUGACAUCAUCAUUAAGGCACUGCCCGUCCUGGUGGUGAAGCUCACCCACAUCUCGGCCACAGCCAGCAUGGCCGUCCCACUGCUGGAGUUCCUGUCCACUCUGGCCAGGCUGCCGCACCUCUACAGGAACUUCGCUGCGGAGCAGUAUGCCAGUGUGUUCGCCAUCUCCCUGCCGUACACCAACCCCUCCAAGUUUAAUCAGUACAUCGUGUGUCUGGCCCAUCACGUCAUAGCCAUGUGGUUCAUCAGGUGCCGCCUGCCCUUCCGGAAGGAUUUCGUGCCUUUCAUCACUAAGGGCCUGCGGUCCAAUGUCCUCUUGUCUUUUGAUGACACCCCCGAGAAGGACAGCUUCAGGGCCCGGAGUACUAGUCUCAACGAGAGACCCAAGAGUCUGAGGAUAGCCAGACCCCCCAAACAAGGCUUGAAUAACUCUCCACCCGUGAAAGAAUUCAAGGAGAGCUCUGCAGCCGAGGCCUUCCGGUGCCGCAGCAUCAGUGUGUCUGAACAUGUGGUCCGCAGCAGGAUACAGACGUCCCUCACCAGUGCCAGCUUGGGGUCUGCAGAUGAGAACUCCGUGGCCCAGGCUGAUGAUAGCCUGAAAACCCUCCACCUGGAGCUCACGGAAACCUGUCUGGACAUGAUGGCUCGAUACGUCUUCUCCAACUUCACGGCUGUCCCGAAGAGGUCUCCUGUGGGCGAGUUCCUCCUGGCGGGUGGCAGGACCAAAACCUGGCUGGUUGGGAACAAGCUUGUCACUGUGACAACAAGCGUGGGAACCGGGACCCGGUCGUUACUAGGCCUGGACUCGGGGGAGCUGCAGUCCGGCCCGGAGUCGAGCUCCAGCCCCGGCGUGCAUGUGAGACAGACAAAGGAGGCGCCGGCCAAGCUGGAGUCCCAGGCUGGGCAGCAGGUGUCCCGCGGGGCCCGGGACCGGGUCCGUUCCAUGUCGGGGGGCCAUGGUCUUCGAGUUGGUGCCCUGGACGUGCCGGCCUCCCAGCUCCUGGGCAGUGCCACCUCUUCAGGACCACGGACUGUGCCAGCCGCGAAGCCUGAGAAGACCUCAGCUGGCACCCGGGUUCCUGUGCAGGAGAAGACGAACCUGGCGGCCUGUGUGCCCCUGCUGACCCAGGGCUGGGCGGAGAUUCUGGUCCGGAGGCCCACAGGGAACACCAGCUGGCUGAUGAGCCUGGAGAACCCGCUCAGCCCUUUCUCCUCGGACAUCAACAACAUGCCCCUGCAGGAACUGUCCAACGCCCUCAUGGCGGCUGAGCGCUUCAAGGAGCACCGGGACACAGCUCUGUACAAGUCACUGUCGGUGCCGGCGGCCAGCACUGCCAAACCCCCUCCUCUGCCUCGCUCCAACACAGUGGCCUCUUUCUCCUCCCUGUACCAGUCCAGCUGCCAAGGACAGCUGCACAGGAGCGUUUCCUGGGCAGACUCCGCCGUGGUCAUGGAGGAGGGAAGUCCUGGCGAGGUUCCUGUGCCAGUGGAGUCCCCGGGGUUGGAGGACUUUGAGGCAGCGCUAGGCAUGGACAGGCGCAUGGAUGCCUACAGCAGGUCAUCCUCAGUCUCCAGCCAGGAGGAGAAGUCACUCCACGCGGAGGAGCUGGUUGCCAGGGGCAUCCCCAUUGAGCGAGCCGUCUCCUCGGAGGGUGGCCGGCCCUCUGUGGACCUCUCCUUCCAGCCCUCGCAGCCCCUGAGCAAGUCCAGCUCCUCUCCCGAGCUGCAGAGCCUGCAGGACAUCCUCGGGGACCCUGGGGACAAGGCCGACGUGGGCCGACUGAGCCCUGAGGUUAAGGCCCGGUCACAGUCAGGGACCCUGGACGGGGAAAGUGCUGCCUGGUCAGCCUCAGGCGAAGACAGUCGGGGCCAGCCCGAGGGUCCCUUGCCUUCCAGCUCCCCCCGCUCGCCCAGUGGCCUCCGGCCCCGAGGUUACACCAUCUCCGACUCGGCCCCAUCACGCAGGGGCAAGAGGGUAGAGAAGGAUGCCUUUAAGAGCAGAGCCACAGCCUCCAAUGCAGAGAAAGUGCCGGGCAUCAACCCCAGUUUCGUGUUCCUGCAGCUCUACCAUUCCCCCUUCUUUGGCGACGAGUCAAACAAGCCAAUCCUGCUGCCCAAUGAGUCACAGUCCUUCGAGCGGUCGGUGCAGCUCCUCGACCAGAUCCCAUCAUACGACACCCACAAGAUCGCCGUCCUGUAUGUUGGAGAAGGCCAGGUACACGGAGUUCCUGACGGGCCUGGGCCGGCUCAUCGAGCUGAAGGACUGCCAGCCGGACAAGGUGUACCUGGGAGGCCUGGAUGUGUGUGGUGAGGACGGCCAGUUCACCUACUGCUGGCACGAUGACAUCAUGCAAGCCAUCUUCCACAUCGCCACCCUGAUGCCCACCAAGGACGUGGACAAGCACCGCUGCGACAAGAAGCGCCACCUGGGCAACGAUUUUGUGUCCAUUGUCUACAAUGACUCCGGCGAGGACUUUAAGCUCGGCACCAUCAAGGGCCAGUUCAACUUUGUCCACGUGAUCGUCACCCCGCUGGACUACGAGUGCAACCUGGUGUCCCUGCAGUGCAGGAAAGACAUGGAGGGCCUUGUGGACACCAGCGUGGCCAAGAUCGUGUCUGACCGCAACCUGCCCUUCGUGGCCCGCCAGAUGGCCCUGCACGCAAAUAUGGCCUCACAGGUACACCAUAGCCGCUCUAACCCCACCGACAUCUACCCCUCCAAGUGGAUUGCCCGGCUCCGCCACAUUAAGAGGCUCCGCCAGCGGAUCUGCGAGGAAGCCGCCUACUCCAACCCCAGCCUGCCUCUGGUGCACCCCCCGUCCCACACCAAAGCCCCUGCACAGACUCCAGCCGAGCCCACACCUGGCUAUGAGAUGGGCCAGCGGAAGCGCCUCAUCUCCUCCGUGGAGGACUUCACCGAGUUUGUGUGAGGCCAGGGCCCUCCCUGCUGCGCUGGCCUUGGACGGUACUGCGUGUCAGUGAAAUAAAGUCCUGGCCCCAGUGCACAGACAGGCGAGACUGCAGUCAGACAGCUCUUUUAUUGACUUUGUCUGCUUGGUGCGGGGGUGGGGGGGGGUGUCGAGGCUCUAGCAGCGGCCGUGCCCACAGAUGUGGUACACAGAAGCAGGCGCAGCCAGCUCCGAGGGCCUUGGGGCUGCCUGGGCCACACGCACGCGCACACACACAUGCACACACGCUCACCUUCCUCCACCCUGGGAGCCAGCCCCCAGGAGGAGUCUUUUCCUCUAACCACCCUGGGGUCCUCUGACAUGCCUAGUCCUGCUCCUCACCCAGACCCGAUGCCAGCAGGCCUGGGUGCUGCUCUCUUGCUACCUGGCCUGGGGCAAGGGAGGAUGACAAGGCCUCUGGGGUGAUGAGAGUGCCUGACAGACAGACAGCUGUGCCCCCAGCACCGGCCCAAGGCCAUGCUCGCAUCCAAGCAGCAGCCAGGCUGCCGUAACCCCGCCACACCUACCAAGCGCAGACAGGUGUUGGGGGAGGCCAGCUCUGGGCGCAGGCCCCUCAGCCCUAGUGAAAAUAGUGACAUACAAAAAUAUAUACAUUUUAACACCAUAUAAAUUACUGACA
This is an RNA transcript of Nomascus leucogenys (northern white-cheeked gibbon), 6097 nucleotides long. It is a transcript of the gene named tuberin, with no coding region annotated. The transcript has 42 exons. The record is from RefSeq and is a predicted model, not a curated record. Lineage: Eukaryota; Metazoa; Chordata; Mammalia; Primates; Hylobatidae.